CGGGAGGGUGCAAGCGUUUGUUCGGAAUCAUUGGGCGUAAAGCGCGUGUAGGCGGCUUGGCAAGUACAGUUGUGAAAGCCCCGGGGCCCAACCCCGGAACUGCAUCUGAAACUGCCUAGCUAGAGUCCCGGAGAGGAAGGCAGAAUUCCCGGUGUAGGGGUGAAAUCCGUAGAUAUCGGGAGGAAUACCAGCGGCGAAGGCGGCCUUCUGGACGGUGACUGACGCUGAGACGCGAAAGCGUGGGGAGCAAACAGGAUUAGAUACCCUGGUAGUCCACGCCGUAAACGUUGAGUGCUAGGUGUCGCGGGUAUUGACCCCCGCGGUGCCGUCGUUAACGCAUUUAGCACUCCGCCUGGGGAGUACGGUCGCAAGGCUA
RNAcentral lists this ribosomal RNA (376 nucleotides) under uncultured organism. RNAcentral describes it as "bacterial SSU rRNA". It matches the Rfam family "Bacterial small subunit ribosomal RNA", at positions 525 to 896 of the family's 1533-position model. The record is from RNAcentral.